AUCGAAUGCUUAUCCUAGAUAUAGAGUCCACUGAGCCGAAAUUGACUUUUUUAAGUAAAGUCCUUUCGUUCUUUCUCCUGAUUCCUGUGGGUAAGAAAGAAUUGGCUAAAAUUCACAUAGAACCGAUGUGGACAAGUCCAAUUGUAGAUCAUGCUUUGACUUCAACCCGAUUCCUCGACUCCUAGAAAGUGUGCCGUGCCGUACCCGUAACUCUUAUUAUUA
Molecule: unclassified non-coding RNA, 222 nt
Filed under: Hevea brasiliensis (rubber tree)
Lineage: Eukaryota; Viridiplantae; Streptophyta; Magnoliopsida; Malpighiales; Euphorbiaceae
Source: RNAcentral